Molecule: long non-coding RNA, 1385 nt
Organism: Paramisgurnus dabryanus
Lineage: Eukaryota; Metazoa; Chordata; Actinopteri; Cypriniformes; Cobitidae
Source: RefSeq, a predicted model, not a curated record
UUUAAGUAUGUGUGCUUGUUUAAGUCUUUUUAGUUUUGUAUUUUAUUUUUUAUAAAUAAAUAAGACUUUACAUUAAAUUGUGUUUAAAUUUAAAAAUACGACUUACUAAUACUAAUAUUUAUUGGUGCACUUUCGUUCCUAAAACAAUGACAUAUAUUGCAAUGCAUCUUGGAAAUAGUAGUCAUUUAACCUCAGGAGCGUUCAAUACGCCGUGGAAAAUGGACUACCUUUCCCAUAAUGCAACUGGUCAUGAUCAGGAACUUCCGCGAAUUUCAAACCCGUGCUGUGUACUGGACGGAGGACGCGCGAUCUUUUGUCUUUUUGGAGUUUUAUAUAACACAGUAAGAAGUCAUGUACCACACUUUGUCAACAAUAAAUGUUGUUUCUGCAAUCUGGAUAAAGAAUAAUUCUUGAUUGUGGAGCUGCUGGAGUAAACAGGAAAAUCCUAUGGGUCGAAAGGAACUUGUUCUAAUCAAUACUGAAGGAGUAAAGCAGGAAGAAAAUUGACCUUCUGGUACAACGUAAACAAAGGCUAUUCGCCGUGAGUAUACCCUUUUUGUGUGGAGUAACUGGCAAAAGUUAACUUGUAUAACUAUUGGAAACCUCCAGGAGAAGGAGGGCGGCCCUACCCCUAUAAGAGUGUGGUGGGCGAGCCGUGAGAAGUCCAACUUCAAACAGCCACCGCAACGAGACUUAUUGUGGUCGUAUUUCCCAUCACCUUAUCGUAGCCCAAGCGCAGUGGAGGACACCGGGCGCUUCCCUUGUUGUGGUGCACUUCUAGUGUGGUGAGUGAGACUGUGUAAUAAAUCUUUUUCACGUUUGGAGUGGUGCUGUGUAUUGCUGUGGGUUGCUGUGUGUCUUGUAGACGAAGCCCCGCAUCAUCCAUUUUCUUCCACUGGGCAGAGGACGGAGAGGCCAACGACUACAGAAAACCACUGUUACUAUAAAUAGUGUGCUGUUUGGAGUACGAAGGGACGCAGACGAAGAGCUGUCCGUGACCGUGAGUAAACCAUUGGAAAGAUUCGUGGUGUGAACUUACCUGUGUCUGUUUUGUCGCAGAGUCAGAGGCGAAAGGGUCCGCCGCCCCGUGGUCUCUACGAAAAGGGCGCCCCCGUCUAGGAAUCGAUCGGCCUAUGGGCAUUGGAGAUAGGGCAGCGCUCGACCCGGUGAGGUGGUGUGUGACCUUCGCCCCUCUGCUGACCUACGGAGGAGAACCAUACUUACCCAGAAAGCUGUAAACAGCAGAGCCGGUGAGAAAUACUCGACGUCUCAGUAACAGUGUCUUUGUGUUUUAGCGGCCACCUGUGGAGAGAGAGCAGAACGAGAGUGAAUUAUUGAAGAGCCACCUGUAAACGUGAUACCUACCCAGAAAGCUGUAAACAGCA